AAAGUAAGACAGAUGAUCGUCCCGACACUUCGUGUCGGGAAGGAAAGUCCGAACUCCACAGGGCAGGACGCCUCAUAACAUGAGGGGGGUGUGAACCCCCGGAAAGUGCCACAGAAAAUAUACCGUCCCGUCCCGACACGAAGUGUCGGGACGGGGUAAGGGUGAAAAGGUGGGGUAAGAGCCCACCGUUGCGCUGGUAACAGCGUAAGCAUGGUAAACCCCGUUCGGAGCAAGACCAAAUAGGAGAAGAGAAGCUGCCCGCUUCGUUUGAUUCUCGGGUAGGUUGCUUGAGGUUCGCUGCGAAGUGAAUCCCAGAUAAAUGAUCAUCCUCGACAGGAUUCGGCUUACGGCUUGCUUUAGAU
This 362-nucleotide RNase P RNA is filed under the name Candidatus Zhuqueibacterota bacterium. RNAcentral describes it as "candidate division KSB1 bacterium (aquatic metagenome) RNase P RNA component class A". It matches the Rfam family "Bacterial RNase P class A". Rfam says of the family: Ribonuclease P (RNase P) is a ubiquitous endoribonuclease, found in archaea, bacteria and eukarya as well as chloroplasts and mitochondria. Its best characterised activity is the generation of mature 5'-ends of tRNAs by cleaving the 5'-leader elements of precursor-tRNAs. The record is from RNAcentral. Lineage: Bacteria; Pseudomonadati.